UUUUUCCGAUUAUUUUUCCAAUUAAUUAUUUUUCCCAAUUAAUUUUUUCCGAUUAUUUUUUCCCGAUUUUUUUUUCCAAUUAUUUUUUUCCAAUUAUUCUUCUGAUUAUUUUUCCAAUUAUUUUUUCCGAUUAUUUUUCCAAUUAAUUAUUUUUUUCCCAAUUAUUUUUCCCAAUUAUUUUUAUCCGAUUAUUUUUCCCAAUUAAUUUUUUCCCGAUUAUUUUUUCCAUUUUUUUCCAAUUAUUUUUUUCCAAUUCUUUUUCCGAUUAUUUUUCCGAUUAUUUUUCCAAAUAAUUAUUUUUUCCUAUUAUUUUUCCCAAUUAUUUUUCCAAUUAAUUAUUUUUUCCGAUUAUUUUUCCCAAUUAAUUUUUUCCGAUUAUUUUUUCCCCAUUAUUUUUUCCGAUUAUUUUUCCAAUUAUUUUUCCGAUUUUUUUCUGAUUAUUUUUCCAUUUUUUCCCAAUUAUUUUUCUAAUUAAUUAUUUUUUCCGAUUAUUUUUUCCCGAUUAUUUUUUCCAAUUUUUUUUUCCGAAUUAUUUUUUCCGAUUAUUUUUAAUAAUUAUUUUUCCAAUUAUUACUAUUUUUAGGUAUUUUUUUCUGAAUUUUUUCCAAUCUUUUUUUCCUAAUUAUUAUUUUUUAAUAUUAUUUUUCCUAAUUAUUAUUCCGAUUUCCCCCCAAUUUUUGUAUCCAAUUAUUUUUCUAAAUUAUUUUUUCCAAUUAUUUUUAAUAUGUUUUUCCAAUUAUUUCCUUUUUAAAUUAUUUUUUUCUGAAUUAUUUUUUUUCCAAUUAUUUUUUAUAAUUAUUUUUCCAAUUAUUUCCUUUUUUUUUUUUUUAAUUAUUCAAUUUUUUCCUCAUUUUUUCCCCAUUUUUGGUCAUUUUUUAUUCAAUUUUUUUCUCAUUUUUUCCUCAUUUUUAUUCAAUUUUUUUCCCCCAUUUUUGGUCUUUUUUUCACCCAUUUUUUCCUCAUUUUUAUUCAUUUUUUCCUCAUUUUUAUUCAUUUUUUUCUCAUUUUUCCCCAUUUUUUCCCCCAUUUUUCAUUCAAUUUUUCCUCAUUUUUAUUCAAUUUUUUCCUCAUUUUUAUUCGAUUUUUUUUCUCAUUUUUUUCUCAUUUUUUCUCUUUUUUCCCCAUUUUUGAUCUUUUUUUCUACCAUUUUUUCCUCAUUUUUUAAUGUUUUAUUCAUUUUUUUUCUCAUUUUUUACUCAUUUUUUCCCCAUUUUUCCCCAUUUUGAACCAUUUUUCAUUUUUUUCCUCAUUUUUUCACCCAUUUUUUCCGCAUUUUCCCUCAUUUUUAUUCAAUUUUUUCCUCAUUUUUAUUCAUUUUUACUCAUUUUUCCCCAUUUUUCCCCAUUUUUCAUUCAAUUUUUCCUCAUUUUUAUUCAUUUUU
Gallus gallus (chicken) is the source of this 1381-nucleotide long non-coding RNA. The record is from Ensembl. NCBI's taxonomy places the organism in Eukaryota, Metazoa, Chordata, Aves, Galliformes, Phasianidae.